AGUGAACGCUGGCGGUAGGCCUAACACAUGCAAGUCGAACGGCAGCACAGUAAGAGCUUGCUCUUACGGGUGGCGAGUGGCGGACGGGUGAGGAAUACAUCGGAAUCUACUUUUUCGUGGGGGAUAACGUAGGGAAACUUACGCUAAUACCGCAUACGACCUACGGGUGAAAGCAGGGGAUCUUCGGACCUUGCGCGAUUGAAUGAGCCGAUGCCGGAUUAGCUAGUUGGCGGGGUAAAGGCCCACCAAGGCGACGAUCCGUAGCUUGUCUGAGAGGAUGAUCGGCCCACACUGAACCGAGACACGGGCCAGACUCCCACGGGAGGCAGGCGUAGGGAAUAUUUGGCAAUGGGGCGCAGCCUGAACCAACCCCUCCGGGGGGGUGAAGAAGGGCUUCGGGUUUGAAAACCCUUUUUUUGGGGAAAAAAAAAGGGGGAAUUAACUCCCCACUUUUCGACGGUAACCAAAAAGAAAGCCACGGCUAACUUCGUG
This 492-nucleotide ribosomal RNA is filed under the name uncultured bacterium. RNAcentral's name for it is "partial 16S ribosomal RNA". It matches the Rfam family "Bacterial small subunit ribosomal RNA", at positions 29 to 507 of the family's 1533-position model. The record is from RNAcentral.